Molecule: ribosomal RNA, 490 nt
Filed under: uncultured bacterium
Lineage: Bacteria
Description: bacterial SSU rRNA
Rfam family: Bacterial small subunit ribosomal RNA
Source: RNAcentral
AUUGAACGCUGGCGGCAUGCUUUACACAUGCAAGUCGAACGGCAGCGCGGGGGCAACCCUGGCGGCGAGUGGCGAACGGGUGAGUAAUGUAUCGGAACGUAUCCUGUAAUGGGGGAUAACCAGUCGAAAGAUUGGGUAAUACCGCAUACGCACGAGAGUGGAAAGUAGGGGAUCGCAAGACCUUACGUUAUAGGAGCGGCCGAUAUCUGAUUAGCUAGUUGGUGGGGUAAAGGCCUACCAAGGCGACGAUCAGUAGCUGGUCUGAGAGGACGACCAGCCACACUGGGACUGAGACACUGCCCAGACACCUACGGGUGGCUGCAGUCGAGGAUCUUCGGCAAUGGGCGCAAGCCUGACCGAGCGACGCCGCGUGUGGGAUGAAGGCCUUCGGGUUGUAAACCACUGUCAGAGGGAUGAAUGCGUAGGGUUCUCUCCUACGUUUGACAUAGCCUCAGAGGAAGUACGGGCUAAGUUCGUGCCAGCAGCCGAC